GGGUUGUGAGGUUAAGCGACCAAGCGUACACGGUGGAUGCCCUGGCAGUCAGAGGCGAUGAAGGACGUGCUAAUCUGCGAAAAGCGCCGGUAAGGUGAUAUGAACCGUUAUAACCGGCGAUGUCCGAAUGGGGAAACCCAGUGUGACUCGUCACACUAUCAUUAACUGAAUCCAUAGGUUAAUGAGGCGAACCGGGGGAACUGAAACAUCUAAGUACCCCGAGGAAAAGAAAUCAACCGAGAUUCCCCCAGUAGCGGCGAGCGAACGGGGAGGAGCCCAGAGCCUGAAUCAGCAUGUGUGUUAGUGGAAGCGUCUGGAAAGGCGCGCGAUACAGGGUGACA
RNAcentral lists this ribosomal RNA (341 nucleotides) under Salmonella enterica. Its description in RNAcentral is "partial 23S ribosomal RNA". It matches the Rfam family "Bacterial large subunit ribosomal RNA", at positions 1 to 369 of the family's 2925-position model. The record is from RNAcentral. Lineage: Bacteria; Pseudomonadati; Pseudomonadota; Gammaproteobacteria; Enterobacterales; Enterobacteriaceae.